GCAAGUCGAGCGGACAGAAGGGAGCUUGCUCCCGGAUGUUAGCGGCGGACGGGUGAGUAACACGUGGGUAACCUGCCUGUAAGACUGGGAUAACUCCGGGAAACCGGAGCUAAUACCGGAUAGUUCCUUGAACCGCAUGGUUCAAGGAUGAAAGACGGUUUCGGCUGUCACUUACAGAUGGACCCGCGGCGCAUUAGCUAGUUGGUGAGGUAACGGCUCACCAAGGCGACGAUGCGUAGCCGACCUGAGAGGGUGAUCGGCCACACUGGGACUGAGACACGGCCCAGACUCCUACGGGAGGCAGCAGUAGGGAAUCUUCCGCAAUGGACGAAAGUCUGACGGAGCAACGCCGCGUGAGUGAUGAAGGUUUUCGGAUCGUAAAGCUCUGUUGUUAGGGAAGAACAAGUGCAAGAGUAACUGCUUGCACCUUGACGGUACCUAACCAGAAAGCCACGGCUAACUACGUGCCAGCAGCCGCGGUAAUACGUAGGUGGCAAGCGUUGUCCGGAAUUAUUGGGCGUAAAGGGCUCGCAGGCGGUUUCUUAAGUCUGAUGUGAAAGCCCCCGGCUCAACCGGGGAGGGUCAUUGGAAACUGGGAAACUUGAGUGCAGAAGAGGAGAGUGGAAUUCCACGUGUAGCGGUGAAAUGCGUAGAGAUGUGGAGGAACACCAGUGGCGAAGGCGACUCUCUGGUCUGUAACUGACGCUGAGGAGCGAAAGCGUGGGGAGCGAACAGGAUUAGAUACCCUGGUAGUCCACGCCGUAAACGAUGAGUGCUAAGUGUUAGGGGGGUUUCCGCCCCUUAGUGCUGCAGCUAACGCAUUAAGCACUCCGCCUGGGGAGUACGGUCGCAAGACUGAAACUCAAAGGAAUUGACGGGGGCCCCCCCCAAGCCGGGGGAUCAGGUGGUUUAAUUCGAAGCAACGCGGAGAAACCUUAACAGGGUCUGGGCAUCCGCCGGACAACCCUAAAGAAAUAGGGCUUUCCCUUUCGGGGAACAAAUUGAAACGGUUGUCAAUGGUUUUCCUUAUCCUCCUGCUCUAAAAAUUUUGUGUUUAAUUCCCCUCAACCAUCCUUAACUCCGCUGUUACUGUGUGUCCUCUUCCUAUUAU
This 1111-nucleotide ribosomal RNA is filed under the name Bacillus sp. (in: firmicutes). RNAcentral describes it as "bacterial SSU rRNA". It matches the Rfam family "Bacterial small subunit ribosomal RNA", at positions 57 to 1129 of the family's 1533-position model. The record is from RNAcentral. Lineage: Bacteria; Bacillati; Bacillota; Bacilli; Caryophanales; Bacillaceae.